Molecule: transfer RNA, 71 nt
Filed under: Marmota monax (woodchuck)
Lineage: Eukaryota; Metazoa; Chordata; Mammalia; Rodentia; Sciuridae
Description: tRNA.Ala
Rfam family: tRNA
About the family: Transfer RNA (tRNA) molecules are approximately 80 nucleotides in length. Their secondary structure includes four short double-helical elements and three loops (D, anti-codon, and T loops).
Source: RNAcentral
GGGGUUGUGGCUCAGUGGCAGAGCACUUACCUGGCAUGAGUGAGGCCCUGGGUUCGAUCCUCAGCACCACA